AUACGGAAGGUCCGGGCGUUAUCCGGAUUUAUUGGGUUUAAAGGGAGCGCAGGCGGAGAUGCAAGCGUGACGUCAAAUUUCGGGGCUCAACCCCGUCUCGCGUCGCGAACUGCGUCCCUUGGUUGCGGGAAGGGGAGGCGGAACUCGGGGUGUAGCGGUGAAAUGCAUAGAUAUCACGAAGAACUCCGAUCGCGAAGGCAGCCUUCCGGCCCGUCAACGACGCUCAUGCUCGAAGGUGCGGGUAUCAAACAGGAUUAGAUACCCCGGUAGUCCGCACAGUAAACGAUGGACACCCGCGGUUUGGCCUAUAUGGCUGAGCCGCCAAGCGAAAGCGUUAAGUGUCCCACCUGGGGAGUACGCCGGCAACGGUGAAACUCAAAUGAAUUGACGGGG
RNAcentral lists this ribosomal RNA (393 nucleotides) under uncultured bacterium. RNAcentral describes it as "partial 16S ribosomal RNA". It matches the Rfam family "Bacterial small subunit ribosomal RNA", at positions 523 to 918 of the family's 1533-position model. The record is from RNAcentral.